AUGUUGGUGAUACCUAACUCAGACUUUUAGAAUUAAGAUGAACACUUGUCCAUCUGACACUGAGAUGACAUUGUAAACCAGCUAUGCUUUGAUUUUUUAAAAAGGAUACAUUUUCCUGGUUAUCCUUUUACUGUGAGCUAGUCAAUGGAAAUGUCCCUCAAAAUCUAGAUUCCUGGAAUAACAAAAAGGUAUGUCUUUUAAACAUUAAUCUGGAGACUAUCCAGAACCGCCAGUCAUGAAAUGUAA
This 246-nucleotide long non-coding RNA is filed under the name Bos taurus (domestic cattle). RNAcentral's name for it is "long non-coding RNA NONBTAT016607". Lineage: Eukaryota; Metazoa; Chordata; Mammalia; Artiodactyla; Bovidae. The record is from RNAcentral.